Molecule: ribosomal RNA, 494 nt
Filed under: uncultured bacterium
Lineage: Bacteria
Description: bacterial SSU rRNA
Rfam family: Bacterial small subunit ribosomal RNA
Source: RNAcentral
GAUCAUGGCUCAGGAUGAACGCUGGCGGCGUGCUUAACACAUGCAAGUCGAACGGAGUUUAGAUGAAACCUAGUGAUUCUAAACUUAGUGGCGGACGGGUGAGUAACGCGUGGGUAACCUGCCAUAUACAGGGGGAUAACACUUAGAAAUAGGUGCUAAUACCGCAUAAGCGCACAGGACCGCAUGGUCUGGUGUGAAAAAACUCCGGUGGUAUAUGAUGGACCCGCGUCUGAUUAGCUAGUUGGUGAGGUAACGGCCCACCAAGGCGACGAUCAGUAGCCGGCCUGAGAGGGUGAACGGCCACAUUGGGACUGAGACACGGCCCAAACUCCUACGGGAGGCAGCAGUGGGGAAUAUUGCACAAUGGGGGAAACCCUGAUGCAGCCGACGCCGCGUGAGUGAAGAAGUAUCUCGGUAUGUAAAGCUCUAUCAGCAGGAAAGAAAAUGACGGUACCUGACUAAGAAGCCCCGGCUAACUACGUGCCAGCCGCAGC